CCUACGGGUGGCAGCAGUGAGGAAUAUUGGUCAAUGGACGAGAGUCUGAACCAGCCAAGUCGCGUGAAGGAUGACUGCCCUAUGGGUUGUAAACUUCUUUUAUCGGGGAGUAAAACGAGGCACGUGUGCCUUUUUGCAUGUACUUUAUGAAUAAGGAUCGGCUAACUCCGUGCCAGCAGCCGCGGUAAUACGGAGGAACCGAGCGUUAUCCGGAUUUAUUGGGUGUAAAGGGAGCGUAGGUGGGUGGUUAAGUCAGUUGUGAAAGUUUGGGGCUCAACCGGAAAACUGCAAUUGAUACUGGCAGUCUUGAGUACAGUAGAGGUAGGCGGAAUUCGUGGUGUAGCGGUGAAAUGCGUAGAUAUUAGGAAGAACCCCAAUGGCGAAGGCAGCUUACUAAACUGUGACUGACACUGAGGCGCGAAAGUGUGGGUAGCAAACAGGAUUAGAUACCCGUGUAGUC
This 460-nucleotide ribosomal RNA is filed under the name uncultured bacterium. RNAcentral describes it as "partial 16S ribosomal RNA". It matches the Rfam family "Bacterial small subunit ribosomal RNA", at positions 338 to 795 of the family's 1533-position model. The record is from RNAcentral.